This 428-nucleotide long non-coding RNA is filed under the name Lathyrus oleraceus (garden pea). RNAcentral describes it as "Pisum sativum (pea) long non-coding RNA (PSAT_LNC029301)". Lineage: Eukaryota; Viridiplantae; Streptophyta; Magnoliopsida; Fabales; Fabaceae. The record is from RNAcentral.
AUUCACACAAUUCAAUCAAAUUUCAUGGGUUUAACAACAAAAUCAUCAUCAUUCACACAAUUCAAUCAAAUUUCAUGGGUUUAACAACAACAUUUUUAUAAUUCACACAAUUCAGUCAAAUUCCAUGAAUUUAAUAGCAACAUUUUCAUUAUUCCCACAAUUCAAUCAAAUAUCAUGUGUUCAACAGUAACAUUUUCAUCAUUCCCACAAUUCAAUCAAAUUUCAUGGGUUUAACAAUAACAUUUUCAUCGUUCACAAAAUUAUAUCAAUUUCAUGGGUUUAAAAUUAAAAUCAUCAUCAUUCACACAAUUCAAUCAAAUUUCAUGGGUUUAACAACAACAUUUUCAUAAUUCACAAAAAUCAUUCAAAUUUCAUGGAUUUAAUAGCAACAUUUUCAUCAUUCCCACAAUUCAAUCAAAUUCCAUAGG